UGAGCUGAAAGAGACAGAGUAAUUUUAUUACAUUAGACAUCUGCUUGACAAAGAUUACUCAACGUGAAGGGCAUGGAAAGUUCCAGGUGCUGCAAGGCCAGGAUUUUCAAAAUGUCAGCAACAGAGAGGAAGCUUUCUUGAGUCAGCGUUUAAGGGGGAUUUUUUUUUUUUUUUUUUUUGAUUUUUUGUAAAUCAAGCAGGUUUAAGUGUCAGGACAUGACAAAAAAAAUCAGGCAAUGUCUCAAAUGGGGUAAAAAGUCAGCUAGCAACAGGAAUCAGUAAACUUGAUGGGCAAAAAUAAUCAUAUUUGUCUGGUCAGUGAACGCACCACAAUUCAGCACAGUGAGAUUGACAAAACUCUGAGGGAAGAACAAUCAGUAUUAAGUGAGAGGAAGAACAACAUUAAGUUUUCUAUGGAGGAAUGUUGGCUCUUCAUUCAUAGGAUGCCACUUUAAUUAGGACAAGAGUGUUGAAAGUGCAGCUCAGGGGCCAUUUGCAGAUCUCAAAACAAUUUCAUGCGCCCCAUCUGCCCAAAGUUUUUAGAUACACUUUUUAAAAAAUGCUAGGAUGCAAAUUUUACUUAUGGGAGACAUUUGGAAAAUAAUAUUUUUUUUAAACAUAGUGUAACUAAGUUACACUAUGUUAUUAAUAAUCAGUUAU
This is a long non-coding RNA of Poecilia latipinna (sailfin molly), 660 nucleotides long. RefSeq lists it as uncharacterized. NCBI's taxonomy places the organism in Eukaryota, Metazoa, Chordata, Actinopteri, Cyprinodontiformes, Poeciliidae. The transcript has 3 exons. The record is from RefSeq and is a predicted model, not a curated record.